AGUCGAACGAGAAAGGGUAGCAAUACCUGAGUAAAGUGGCGUACGGGUGAGUAACACGUGGAUCAUCUGCCCUUUGGUGGGGAAUAACUUCUGGAAACGGAAGAUAAUACCGCAUAAGUCCGAGAGGAGAACGCAGCAAUGCGCCGAAGGAGGAGUCCGCGGCUGAUUAGCUAGUUGGUAGGGUAAUGGCCUACCAAGGCGACGAUCGGUAGCCGGCCUGAGAGGGCACACGGCCACACUGGCACUGAGACACGGGCCAGACUCCUACGGGAGGCAGCAGUGGGGAAUCUUGCACAAUGGGGGAAACCCUGAUGCAGCGACGCCGCGUGAGUGAUGAAGCCCUUCGGGGUGUAAAGCUCUUUCGACGGGAACGAUAAUGACGGUACCCGGAGAAGAAGCUGCGGCUAACUACGUGCCAGCAGCCGCGGUAAUACGUAGGCAGCAAGCGUUGUUCGGAAUUACUGGGCGUAAAGAGUACGUAGGUGGUUUGCUAAGUCCGAUGUGAAAUCUCCUGGCUUAACUGGGAGGGUGCGUUAGAUACUGGCAGGCUUUGAAUGUGGGAGAGGAGAGCGGAAUUCCUGGUGUAGCGGUGAAAUGCGUAGAUAUCAGGAGGAACGCCUGUGGUGUAGACGGCUCUCUGGACCAUUAUUGACACUGAGGUACGAAAGCGUGGGUAGCAAACAGGAUUAGAUACCCUGGUAGUCCACGCCCUAAACGAUGCAUACUUGGUGUGGGCAGUUCAGUCUGUCCGUGCCGGAGCUAACGCGUUAAGUAUGCCGCCUGGGGAGUACGGUCGCAAGGUGAAACUCAAAGGAAUUGACGGGGGCCCGCACAAGCGGUGGACAUGUGGUUUA
This 854-nucleotide ribosomal RNA is filed under the name uncultured Bacillota bacterium. RNAcentral describes it as "bacterial SSU rRNA". It matches the Rfam family "Bacterial small subunit ribosomal RNA", at positions 60 to 948 of the family's 1533-position model. Lineage: Bacteria; Bacillati; Bacillota. The record is from RNAcentral.